CAGAACGCGCGCAGGGGACCGCGCGAUUGUGGACCGGAGAGGCCAGGAUUCCCCAGUGGCUGCGCGGUCGAAAGGCGGGAGCCGGAGGUUGCAGGACACUGGGUGACUUCUCAGCCUCUGUUUGAUUUGGCCAUAAGAACUCAGCUUUUCUUCUCUAGCCUGGUCCCAAGCUCCAGGCCUGGGACCAUUCCAUCCUCCUGGUCUUCCCUCAUUCAGAUGUUACCAACACAUCCCUGGCCAAGAGACAUUCAAGGAGAUAGCUGGAUGCAGGCCUCUCUCCUCUUCUACCUACUCCAGUGGACUCAAGACACGUAACUGAUUGUGAACUCUUGAAGGAAAUGACCAUGCCUGGCAGUACCAAGCUCAGAACUACUAUCAGUGAUUGUUGAAUGAAUGCUAGUGGGAGACCAGACCCCACGUGAACAUCUGAGUCACUCCUCUAUUCUGUGAAUUCACAGCUGGUAGCAACAUCCUAAGGAUGGCCUUGGUCCCCAAGACUCAGUGAUUAGAGUGUGUGUGCACGCUUUAAAGUUUACCUACGAUUCUUGUUUCACUUUCUCCUGUUGGUGGUUUUAACAAAACGAUGUCACUUACCAUAUUAGAAGGGGCUACUUUCUUUUCAGAGUAGACUGCUUCAGUCACUCACUUGAGCACAGCAAACAGAGGUCUGGGAGCUGCUGUCAUGGAUGGAAGCAAGGAUUUCUAAGAGUUCAUUUGGGUUUUCAAAUCCUUUGCACUGGUUCUUAGAAGUAGAUUAAUAAUCUUUACUAGUGAUGGCAAUAAGUCCUAGUUCACAGUCUGUGAACAGAGGUUCUUUUGGAAAAUGUAGUAAGUGCCUGAAAAGAAU
Kogia breviceps (pygmy sperm whale) is the source of this 847-nucleotide non-coding RNA. The record is from RefSeq and is a predicted model, not a curated record. Lineage: Eukaryota; Metazoa; Chordata; Mammalia; Artiodactyla; Physeteridae.